UAUGGCUUAGUGGUGGAGUGUGUGCUUGGCACGCACAAAGCCCUGGGUUUGAUCCCCAGUA
Molecule: transfer RNA, 61 nt
Filed under: Urocitellus parryii (Arctic ground squirrel)
Lineage: Eukaryota; Metazoa; Chordata; Mammalia; Rodentia; Sciuridae
Also listed under: 2 other names
Description: Spermophilus parryii (Arctic ground squirrel) tRNA
Rfam family: tRNA
About the family: Transfer RNA (tRNA) molecules are approximately 80 nucleotides in length. Their secondary structure includes four short double-helical elements and three loops (D, anti-codon, and T loops).
Source: Rfam by way of RNAcentral